AUAGGUCUUUCUUCCUUAUGGAGGAAGCCACAGCACCUUCCUACCGAAAUCCCUGCUGCUGGGUGUUGAGCUGGUAUUUGGUCAUCUCUGGCCACAGAAAACUGUUGGUCAGCUCUGCCUGCUGUCCAGUAACUCCACCGCUGCAAGCUGGCCUACCUCUAUUUCAGGAAUGAGAUGGGACCUGGGAAGAGAAUGGGGGUGGGGGUUCCCCUGGAGGGGGCCAUAGGCUAUCCUGCUUCGGGGAAAGAACUAACAAGACUCAGACAUCUUCUGAGGGUGCAACACAGAGAGACCCUCUCAGCCCUGGUCAGGAGGCCCCGCUCCUUUCCUGGGGACAGAUGCUCCCUUCUGCUUGCGUGGUGUCUGGUCACCACACACUUACCUAUGCUUACUCCGCCUCCUGGAAAUGUUGCAGGAAGGGGGACCCUUUCCAGGGCCUGAGAAUGGGCUCUUGGCGAACACACGAAAUGAAAUGUCCGAGGAGACACCCGUGCUGACACAACACAAGAGACUUGACUGGGAAGGGGCGCUGGUACCGGUGCGGGGGGAGCAGCAGGGUGAGGGAACCCAGGAGACCUGCUCUGCCGGGUGACUCACAGUCUCAGGUUUUAUGGGAAUGGGGACCGUUUCCGGGUGGUCUCUGGCCAGUCGUCCUGCUUGGUCCCUACUUGGUCUGGGUCUGGCUCAGUGUCCUUCUUGGCAGCACACGCACUUCUCAGCCAAGAUGGAUUCCAGCGCCAAGGAUCCUGGGAAGGUGGCUGUCUCCUCCCUCCUGUGGGCCCCUCCCCAACCCUCCAGUUAGUCUUCAGAGCAGCACCAGGCUCCCGGUCAGGACCUCCUGCUGUGAGACAAGUCAUGCAAGUGGCUAUUGCUGUGCUUGGCCAAGGUGGCCACUUCAGUCAGUGGUCCCCUCACAGAAACAGAGACACAACAGCAUUUACCUCACUUCAGAGCAUGGGGUCCCUUCCUGAAAGAUUGUCAGGGUGCAUGAUCCCCACCACGAGUUGUGCAGCCGUUAUCGGGCCGGGGUGUGAAGGGGUUAUUCACAGAAUCUUUCAUGCUAAAGAGGCAUUCAGUGAAACCACUGGUUUGGACUAAUUCAAGUUAAGGUCUAGGGAGCCUCAGGCGUCACACAUCUCCAGCCAAAUAGUCGUUGCUCUCCAUCCUGUCGAAUAAAUCAGAAUCACAGCUAACAAAAUCUUCCUUAGGAGAGGCAGGGCCGGGUCUGCUUUAGAAAGUACUUGGCGCUAUAAUGGAAAAAUAAAAAUCAUUAUUAAAAAAAUAAAAAGUAGAUGGGCCUCAUGUAUAAACAGCAUUGGACUAUAAAUGGUGUUGGAGUGCUUGGAAAUAAUUUGUUCUUUUAGUGGAUUACCAAUUUCCCCCUGCAAAAAAAGUGCUUCACAGAAUUUCCUAAGCACUCUCUUCCUUUGUAAGCAACAUGGGAUUCCAUAUGAGCCAGUCCUGAUAGGUCAAAACUCUGGAAGCUUUGCCCAAGCUACACCCAAGCCAUCAACCCUAGCAGUGAUCUGUGUUCUAGAGAGGUGGGGGCGAGUGGGGCUGGCUACAGGCUUUCUGGAGAGAUUUGAAAAUAACAGUACAUUAGGGAAAGAAAGAGUUGCAUCCAAAAUUUCAAAGUUAAGGAGAAGGCGUUUCUAGCCACGAGGCCUGGUGGGUAGAGAACACGGGCUAGCGGAGGGCGGGGAGGAGAGCCUGCAGAGCAUGGAGGUGAAAUAGGAGUUUAUAGAGAUUGUCUCUCUAUAAAAUUCCCAUCAUCCCCCAGGAGUCAAGAAAGCAUCCUUGGGGAGUUCCCGUCAUGGCGCAGUUGUUAAUGAAUCCGACUAGGAACCAUGAGGUUGCAGGCUCGAUCCCUGCCCUUGCUCAGUGGGUUAACGAUCUGGCGUUGCUGUGAGCUGUAGUGUAGGUCGCAGACGCGGCUCGGAUCUGCAUUGCUGUGGCUCUGGCGUAGGCUGGCGGCUACAGCUCCGAUUAGACCCCUAGCCUGGGAAUCUCCAUAUGCCACAGGAGCGGCCCAAGAAAUGGCAAAAAAAAAAAGAAAGCUUCCUUGGGCGUUCCCGUUGUAGCACAGCAGAAACAAACCUGACUAGUAACCAUGAGGUUACAGGUUUGAUCCCUGGCCUCGUUCAGUGGGUUAAGGAUCCAGCAUUGCUGUGAGCUAUGGUGUAGCCACAGCAAUGUGGGAUCCGAGCUGCAUCUGUGACCUACACCACAGCUCACGGCAACGCCAGAUCCUUAACCCACUGAGUGAGGCCAGGGAUCAAACCCGCAACCUCAUGGUUCCUAGUCAGAUUCGUUAACCACUGAGCCACGACGGGAACUCCGGUUUCUUCAUUCUUAACUGCCAGAGGCCAAGGGGCAAGUGCCUGGCAUCUGGGCUGGUUGGACAUGGGGCACUUCUCUGGGCUGGCAUUUAGAGUGGCACCACUGUUGUGCAAUUGUGGGCAUGCAGAGAGGCUCCUUCUGCCUUUGCACAGCUUCUCAGUCCCCCAGGACAGGGUUAUUGGUCUAUACCCAGCAUCCUUUCUCUAAACUUCUCCAACCUCAAUCUCUGGCUUGGAAGAAAGACGGGGCUAACUGGGGUGCUGGUGGAAGGUAGCCAUGUUCUGUUGCAGUAAAUCUUUCCUAGAAGCCCUGCCUGCUUUCCUAGAAGAGGAGACAGCUGAGCUCAUCAGCUUGGGCUGGACGGCCCAGAAAGAAUCCUUUCCAACCCCCAGAAGACCCCUCCACAGCUUGGGAAAGGAAAGGCUCACUGGUGUGCUUUGUGUGUGGACGUGGAACUGUCAGCCUGGGCAGGGGUGUCUGGUGACAGAGCAGAGCAGCUGAGGAGGAAGGACAGCCUUUUGGAGGUGGGACAGCAUGUUUGCCUAAGGGAAAUCUUGUGAUUCACCCAGCUCCCCACCCCCACUGUCUUUAGUGCUCCCGCUCCAGGACUUUUCAUAUGCAUUAGAGACUGCAAUUUCCUCUCCCAGAAACCCGUUCAAUUGUGAGUGAGUGUGCGCAUGCAUCAGUAUUCUUUCCCACCUAUUUUUAAUUUCUUUGCGCAUCUCACCCACCAUGUGCGUUCCCAUGACAGUCCCCUUGAACUCAUUCUCUCUCCAUGAGGUCUUCCUCUAGAGGCCUCUUCUGGAAGACUCAGGGCUUCAGGAGGUGGCAAGAGGGUCUCAGACUUUGCCUCGAAAUGAGAAGUUCUUCCUUCACAGUCUUAUCACCCAAAGGCUGCUGGACACGUGCGUGGGGCCUCGGGGAUGAAAAGGGGGCGAUGGUGUGGCCGGUGACUGCUCAUCUGCCCCACCCAGACCCAAGGUCCCCGGGCCCGCAGCCCCUGCCCCUCCCCCUCAGGGCACAUUUCCCCUCUGGCUUCUUCUGGGCUAAGGUGCCAGGGAUAUGAAACUGGAGGUGUCUCAGGCACACCCCCCACCCCCAUGCGGCAGCUUGAGUUUCUUGACGUUGAGCUGAACUGGGAACACAUGACCUAGAUUUUGCCCCAGAUUCUCAACUGGGAGUUUGCUCAGUGCUCUCCUCUGACCAGGCCAAGCAUAGGGCAAACUCCUUGGCAUGUUGGGAACCCUGAGCCUUUGCACUAUUCCCCCUUCAAGAUCAUCUACUCUAAUGAAGCAGAACGGCAACACGGAAAAUGCUAGAACAUGGAAGAGGAUCCAAAAUGAUGGAUGAGUCAGUCCAGAAUGCAUGCUUCCGGUUCCCUCUGCAGAUUUACCCUUGCUAAUUACACGCUUCCACAGCUAUUACAAUAUUCUCGCCUCUCCUGUCGAAAAGAUGACCAGGUCAAAAGAGAACCAGUUAAGGGAUGCUAUUUGGUCUGAAAGAAUGCCUCCGUGAAGAAAGAAGCAGAGUAUAGCUAUCUUUUUACAUUGCUGAGUGUUUCUUUCAGGGCCGGCUCAAGCUGGAGAGGAUUAUUCCUCCUUGGGUUCUGAGCAAGGGUUGGGAAGUCAACUGUGAUGGAAUUUCUCUGGCCCACAAAUGACCGAUGGCUUCUGAGGAUGGACAAAGUGACUUAUGACCAGGACAAUGAAACAGUCUGCACGGGUCUCCCCAGAGUGUACAAAUUAUCUACAAUAGCCGAAAAAAUAGGCACAACCUAAAUAUUCACCCAUAGGAUGUUAGUUGAAUGAACAAAUGUAUGAUGGAAGACUAGGCAGUCAUUAGAAUUAUGGGCUAGAGAAAAGGCUUAAUCUCGCGGGAAAAUGCUCACAACAUAUUAUUAAAGGGAAAAGUAGAUUACAAGGCCAUAUGCUUAGAAUAUAGCAGUUUUGCAAGGAAAAAGUAUUGUGUGCACUGUUUUAACUGGAGGAAUAUGUAUAAAAACGUCAACAGUGCCGUCUCUGGGUAGUAAGAUUUGGCUUGACUUUUAUUUUCUUUCUUGGAUUUGUCUCUGUUUUUCAAACUUUCUCCCAUGAACAUAUAUAUUAUUCCAAAAUCAGGAAAAGAUGAUAGUUUAAAAAUGAUUAGCUGAGGGAUCAACAGAUGUGUUUCCUGUUUCUCUUCCCACGUCUCUUCUCCAUCUUAUUUCAGAGAUUCCCAUUCCUCCGCCCUCCCACAUCAGACACUGAUGGAGCCAGAAGCCCAGAGCAGCUGGUGUCCUAAACAACAGCACCAAAGUGAAUUCAUCCCUGAUAGUAACAGCUUGGGAAGAUUUCCAUUUCACUGAGAAUGAAUUGUACCCAAAUCAUUUUUUUUUUUUCCCUAAUCAGGAAUGAACCUCUCCAAGGGACUUUCAUAUGUGUAUAGGGGCUCACAGAGGACAAUUAUAAAUCUUGACAGCUGCUCCGUGGGUUUUCAAACACGAGGGGGAUGCCUCCCUUCUCCUGGGCCUGUUUACAGCAUCCCGUCCCUUGGAGUUUUGAGAACCUUCUGCUGCGGUGAGAUGGGGAGGUUCUGGGAGAGUCACGGCUGUUCUUCCCUCACAGGUGGAUGAUGAAGGGAAUUGGAGAGAACAAAAACUAAGGGACUAGGACAGUCCAGCUUGGGGUGUCUAGUUCCUAGUGUCCCGUGUAGAGAAGGGGGUGCUCGGGGGUGGACAGAGGGAGUAAGAAAUGAGUUCACAGCAGGGAACAGUGGGGCCACGGGAAAGUCGGCUGCCAAACAGAGACGGGGCUAAGGGCACUUCAUUUGUGUCACAGAUUUUACAGAAUCCAUCUCGCUUUUAGCUGCUCCCACACCACCUCCAUCCUCAGCAGCAUGUUCUAGAUCCUCUCCUCCUCACCAUAGGAGCCAGCACUACAAGUGCUGCCGCUGUCCUGAAGUCACCAUCUGUUGGUGGUGGGUGUUACAGUAGGGAGAGCAUUGCUGUGCUCCCUGGCCACUAUUCCCACCACCCCAAGGUGGGGGGGUGCCACGUUCCCCCCACUGGGGCAGAGUCAGAUGGUGGCUUUUCUCAGUCAGCCUGUGCUCGGAAAAGUCAUCCCCCUAUUGUAUUGGAAAAUUCCUCUUGUGCCUGUCAUUGCACACAUCAGGAGACCAAGGUUUCCAUUUUCUCAGAAGUAGUUCACCAGCUACUGUCAUUGAGACCAAGCCUGUCCCUGGAAUUUUUUAUUCAUUUUUGGAAAGCUAUAAUCCAGCCCCAAGAGAUGAGGUCUAAUGUGGGAGCCUGAGUUCUCCUAAAGCAGAGAAAUGAGCUGAGGUUGGGCCGGGCUGUGUCCAUACCCAUGCAGCCCGGCCACUGAAAUAAUUUCAUGUCAUCCCACUCUUUGACUGCCUGGGGACAUCUGAAGAUUUCCGAAGAGAGAGUACAGAAAGAUGGAGUUCCCGUUGUGGCUCAGCAGAACCAAACCUGACUAGUAUCCCUGAGGAUGCAGCGUCCAUCCCUGGCCUCACUCAGUGGGUUAAGGAUCUGGCGUUGCCAUGAGUGUGGUGGAGGUCACAGAUGCGGCUCAGAUCUGGCCUUGCUGUGGCUGUGGCAUAGGCCAGCGGCUGCAGCUCCAA
RNAcentral lists this long non-coding RNA (5958 nucleotides) under Sus scrofa (pig). RNAcentral describes it as "lncRNA (ENSSSCG00015019117.1)". Lineage: Eukaryota; Metazoa; Chordata; Mammalia; Artiodactyla; Suidae. The record is from RNAcentral.